This 1014-nucleotide long non-coding RNA is filed under the name Anas platyrhynchos platyrhynchos (common mallard). Its description in RNAcentral is "lncRNA (ENSAPLG00000018023.1)". Lineage: Eukaryota; Metazoa; Chordata; Aves; Anseriformes; Anatidae. The record is from RNAcentral.
UUUUGCUGACUGAAAUUAUUGGUAUUUUUCAGAGCACAAAAGAAAGAAGUUGUGCUGGAUGUUCCCAUGCUUUAUAUCUUACAGUUUCUUAUAGCAAGGCUAGGUAUACGCUAUUCUGACCUGAAAAUGCUUGACAGCUUUUUUGCACAAGAUUAUCUAGCCUGGAGAAGGUAACUAAGACCAAUAGCGUGUCCUUGAAACUCCGGACACAACUACGGCAGUGUAUGUAUGUAUUUAAGUAGACAAAAUGUGUGCAUCAUAGAAUAAUGGUCAAAUUGUCAAUGUUAUUGUAUAUGUACAGUUGAUGUAGUAGAGUAACAUAAGUAUGAAAACUCUAUAAUGCCAUUCUGUAGUAGAUCUUAACAGUACAAGACAAGAACACAAUCAAACUGAGCGCUUAUCUUUCAAAUUCACAGAUAUAUUUGGUAAUCAACUGACUUCCUAGUCAUAACUGAGGUCCACAAACAAGACUUCAACACUACACCUUUACCACUGUAAUUAAACUGUCUUUCUAAUGUAAUUUCAGGGCAUAAAUCUAUGGUGUGCUUUUUCUGAGACAUAUCUAAAUCCUUUAACAGCUGUAGGUCUCUUCAAGAGAAUUUAAAUGUGAGGGUAUUGGUAAUGGAAACAACUUCUGGAUGCUGUUAUGCGAAAAGACCAAGGCAGCAGUGGCAUUGACUUUGAAUCUUUCAUUUUUUUUUCAAGCAUAAGACAAAAACUGGAUGAAGUCAAUAUCCGAUCUCUAGAUGCACAGGUUCUGGGUAUACAGUCUAACUACAGCCACAAGUCACAAAGCUUUGUGAUGGACACAAAGGGCAGAAACAUGUUUGCAAACUAAUGUUCAAAAAACAUGUAAUUACCUCAGAUUACAUUAGUUCUUGCUUCAUCUGUAUCUUCAAGAUGAUACUGAGUCCUUUUAAUGGACAGGAAUAACACAGGUCAUGACUAAUUAACUGAAGACCAAGCUAAAAUUCAGAAUGCCAGUACAUUUUUAACGUCAUAUCUGAAACUUCC